AUUGAACGCUGGCGGAAUGCUUUACACAUGCAAGUCGAACGGCAGCACGGGGCAACCUGGUGGCGAGUGGCGAACGGGUGAGUAAUACAUCGGAACGUGCCCAAUCGUGGGGGAUAACGUAGCGAAAGUUACGCUAAUACCGCAUACGAUCUACGGAUGAAAGCGGGGGAUCGCAAGACCUCGCGCGAAUGGAGCGGCCGAUGUCAGAUUAGGUAGUUGGUGGGGUAAAGGCUCACCAAGCCAACGAUCUGUAGCUGGUCUGAGAGGACGACCAGCCACACUGGAACUGAGACACGGUCCAGACUCCUACGGGAGGCAGCAGUGGGGAAUUUUGGACAAUGGGCGCAAGCCUGAUCCAGCCAUUCCGCGUGCAGGAUGAAGGCCUUCGGUUGUAAACUGCUUUUGUACGGAACGAAAAGGUCCUGGUUAAUACCUGGGGCUCAUGACGUACCGUAAGAAAUAAGACACCGCUAACUACGUGCCAGCAGCCGCGGUAAUACG
RNAcentral lists this ribosomal RNA (501 nucleotides) under uncultured bacterium. RNAcentral describes it as "bacterial SSU rRNA". It matches the Rfam family "Bacterial small subunit ribosomal RNA", at positions 30 to 527 of the family's 1533-position model. The record is from RNAcentral.